RNAcentral lists this ribosomal RNA (476 nucleotides) under Stumpffia sorata. Its description in RNAcentral is "partial large subunit ribosomal RNA". It matches the Rfam family "Bacterial large subunit ribosomal RNA", at positions 1942 to 2606 of the family's 2925-position model. Lineage: Eukaryota; Metazoa; Chordata; Amphibia; Anura; Microhylidae. The record is from RNAcentral.
CUAACCGUGCAAAGGUAGCACAAUCACUUGUUCUUUAAAUUAGGACUAGUAUGAACGGCCCCACGAGGGCUACCCUGUCUCCCCCCUCCAAUCAGUGAAACUGAUCUCCUCGUGAAGAAGCGAGGAUAUCCCCAUAAGACGAGAAGACCCCAUGGAACUUUAAACUAGUACCACCCCUUUCUACGAGACCUCAUGACUACUAGUCUUUCGGCUGGGGCGACCACGGAGAAAAAUAAAACCCCCGAGAUGAAAGGAAUUAUCCUUAUCCCAGAAUUACUACUCCAAGAAUCAAAAAUGACACCAUUGACCCAAUACUUGACCAACGAACCAAGCUACCCUGGGGAUAACAGCGCAAUCCAUUUCAAGAGACCCUAUCGACAAAUGGGCUUACGACCUCGAUGUUGGAUCAGGAAGUCCUGGUGGUGCAGCCGCUACCAAAGGUUCGUUUGUUCAACGAUUAAAACCCUACGUGAUCU